GAAUCUGCCUAUUAGUGGGGGACAACAUUUCGAAAGGAAUGCUAAUACCGCAUACGUCCUACGGGAGAAAGCAGGGGAUCUUCGGACCUUGCGCUAAUAGAUGAGCCUAAGUCGGAUUAGCUAGUUGGUGGGGUAAAGGCCUACCAAGGCGACGAUCUGUAGCGGGUCUGAGAGGAUGAUCCGCCACACUGGGACUGAGACACGGCCCAGACUCCUACGGGAGGCAGCAGUGGGGAAUAUUGGACAAUGGGCGCAAGCCUGAUCCAGCCAUGCCGCGUGUGUGAAGAAGGCCUUAUGGUUGUAAAGCACUUUAAGCGAGGAGGAGGCUACUGAAGUUAAUACCUUCAGAUAGUGGACGUUACUCGCAGAAUAAGCACCGGCUAACUCUGUGCCAGCAGCCGCGGUAAUACAGAGGGUGCAAGCGUUAAUCGGAUUUACUGGGCGUAAAGCGCGCGUAGGCGGCUAAUUAAGUCAAAUGUGAAAUCCCCGAGCUUAACUUGGGAAUUGCAUUCGAUACUGGUUAGCUAGAGUGUGGGAGAGGAUGGUAGAAUUCCAGGUGUAGCGGUGAAAUGCGUAGAGAUCUGGAGGAAUACCGAUGGCGAAGGCAGCCAUCUGGCCUAACACUGACGCUGAGGUGCGAAAGCAUGGGGAGCAAACAGGAUUAGAUACCCUGGUAGUCCAUGCCGUAAACGAUGUCUACUAGCCGUUGGGGUCUUUGAGGCUUUAGUGGCGCAGCUAACGCGAUAAGUAGACCGCCUGGGGAGUACGGUCGCAAGACUAAAACUCAAAUGAAUUGACGGGGGCCCGCACAAGCGGUGGAGCAUGUGGUUUAAUUCGAUGCAACGCGAAGAACCUUACCUGGUCUUGACAUAGUAAGAACUUUCCAGAGAUGGAUUGGUGCCUUCGGGAACUU
This 913-nucleotide ribosomal RNA is filed under the name Acinetobacter sp. 20B-6. Its description in RNAcentral is "bacterial SSU rRNA". It matches the Rfam family "Bacterial small subunit ribosomal RNA", at positions 122 to 1029 of the family's 1533-position model. The record is from RNAcentral. Lineage: Bacteria; Pseudomonadati; Pseudomonadota; Gammaproteobacteria; Moraxellales; Moraxellaceae.